UAAGUUUCAUGGAAUAUGAGUGACACAAUUGUUCUGAUCUUAAUGUUUUAUUGCAUUUUGUGUUAUUUUUUUAUUUUUCGCCUUAGAUUCUGUUGCCAUAGUGACCGCUGGUGCAAGUAGGUACUUUUUGUUACAAAAAGGCAAGACUUAUAUUUCGUCAUGACAGAGGAAACAGACCGUAGUAGCCUCUUACCAGGUACCAUUAGACUCUCAGGGGCAGUAUCAAUUCACCUAACGGAGGCAUCUCGCCGGCCGCUUGGUGUCAACGAUCCGGAUAGCGCCUUACAGCUCGACUCUGGUGUUUCUGAGACUGAUGUGGACAUUUCAAUCGGUUCCUAUUGUGGUGUCGGCCCUGUCAUCUGACGGCAUAUUCCGGCACCGACGGCAGCAUAUGGCUCUGGCCUGGUGUUGCUGUGACUGGUGCUGCCACCUACACAAGCAUCAGUUGACGGUGCUGCCAUCUGUCAAACUGCUUUCGGCAUCGACUACAGCUCAUAUCUUGGACAUUUGGCUCCAAGGGCAGUCUUCGCU
Long non-coding RNA from Amphibalanus amphitrite, 531 nucleotides. RefSeq lists it as uncharacterized. Lineage: Eukaryota; Metazoa; Arthropoda; Thecostraca; Balanomorpha; Balanidae. The record is from RefSeq and is a predicted model, not a curated record. The transcript is spliced from 4 exons.